GGAAGGAUCAUUACAACACAAUACGAGCCCCGGGCAAACCGGUGGUCAAUUGAUAGCUUAUCUAACUGUUCCACAGUCCGAAAGGGGGACGCCCCGACUAGGACUAAACUCAUCCGAAAGGGUCUCGACUAGGAUUCGUCCGAAAGAGGCUUCGACUAGGAUUCGUGUAUUAUUAGUAGUAUUAUAUAAACCAAAUACAAGGUUUAGCGGUGGAUGAAUCGGCUCAGAUAGCGAUGAAGAUCGUAGCAAAAUGCGAUAAGGAGUGCGAACUGCAGUAAACUGCGAGUACUUUAUCAUUGAAUGCACGCUGCACCUGACGGCUUACGCUUUCAGGUGUGUUCGGUUGAGUUGCGGUAAUAUACCUAAAUUCCCCACGGGGAGUCUUGGGGUCCUAGUUAUAUACUAGUUCCCUUAAAUGUUCGACAGGUCCGAUCGGAGAGGAUACACUGCGUUCGAAAGGAGGCGGGGUAACUGAAGCGAGAAGGCCUUAUAGAUAACGAUCCUAGAGAUCCUAAAAUUCGCACUCAACUCGAGCACGACUACCCUUGGAAUUUAAGCAUAUAAUUACGGGGAGGAAAAGAAACUAACAAGGAUUCGCCUAGUAACUGCGAGUGAAGAGCGAAGAGCCCAUCCUGAAUCCUAGAUCAUUAAGUUGGUCCUGGAGUUGUAGGGUAAGGUUGAUCCUUUUGAGGUCCUGCGUUGCUCGAAGUCCGCUGGAAAGCGGCUCCAUAGAGGGUGAAAGGCCUGUAGGGAAAUGCGGGGUCGCUUUAUAAGGGUUGAACCAUGAGUCGUACUAUUUGAGAGUAUAGUACUAAACGGUGAUAUGCAUCAUCGAAGGCUAAAUAUUGAUCUGAGACCGAUAGCAAACAAGUAGCGUGAGCGAAAUUUGAAAAGAACUUUGGAAAGAGAGUUAAAAGUACCUGAAACCGCUAAGCUGAAAGGGUUGAACCGAUCCGCGUGGUGUUUGUCGUAUUCAGGCCUCGAUUAGAUGGCUAAGCUCGGGAUUCAGCAGUUGCCCAGCAGCUGCGUUGAACGGGUGGUGCUGUCGAAUGAGGUUGCAUUUAUGGCCGACUGUGCAUUGCCGCUUCUGGAUCCUUUAGAAGGGGAGUCUAACGGUAGCUGCUUGCGGCGAAGUAGGCACUUGAUGAGGGGAACAGGAGCGAGGAGCUCGAAAGAGCUUUAACGAGCGGUAUCCUUAGAUGAAGGCCCAGGUACUGCUGAAGUGGAUCCAGCUUGCUGGGUACGCGGAUGUAAGGCCUACGGUUGGAAAUCUUGAAGCUCGUUUCGGCAAUGAAGGAGAGGUUGAACCACCCGUCUUGAAACACGGACCAAGGAGUCUAACAUGCCUGCGAGUCGAUGGCUUUAAAAGCUUGUGGCGCAAUGAAAGUGAUGUCUCUCAAGGCGCAAGCCUGCAGGAGAAACCUACCUUGGACUCGUUCCUCGGUUUGAGUUAGAGCACUUGGAUUAGGACCCGAAAGAUAGCGAACUUUGCUUGCACAGAUUGAAGGCAGGGGAAACCCUGCUGGAGGAUCGUAGCGUUGUUGACGUGCAAAUCACUCGUCAGAUGUAAGUAAAGCGGCGAAAGACUAAUCGAGCUGUCUAGUAGCUGGUUCCGUC
RNAcentral lists this unclassified non-coding RNA (1617 nucleotides) under Metazoa environmental sample. Its description in RNAcentral is "sequence contains 18S rRNA gene, ITS1, 5.8S rRNA gene, ITS2, 28S rRNA gene". The stretch from base 520 to 1617 matches the Rfam family "Eukaryotic large subunit ribosomal RNA", at positions 1 to 961 of the family's 3401-position model. Lineage: Eukaryota; Metazoa. The record is from RNAcentral.